This 17-nucleotide microRNA is filed under the name Homo sapiens (human). RNAcentral describes it as "hsa-miR-4286". The record is from miRBase by way of RNAcentral. Lineage: Eukaryota; Metazoa; Chordata; Mammalia; Primates; Hominidae. RNAcentral also lists the same sequence under 1 other name.
ACCCCACUCCUGGUACC